This 26-nucleotide non-coding RNA is filed under the name Rattus norvegicus (Norway rat). Lineage: Eukaryota; Metazoa; Chordata; Mammalia; Rodentia; Muridae. The record is from RNAcentral.
UGUCUGUGGUUCUCAGAAGUUGUGAU